This 685-nucleotide ribosomal RNA is filed under the name uncultured bacterium. Its description in RNAcentral is "bacterial SSU rRNA". It matches the Rfam family "Bacterial small subunit ribosomal RNA", at positions 97 to 796 of the family's 1533-position model. The record is from RNAcentral.
GGCGAACGGGUGAGUAACACGUGGGCAACCUGCCCCAGACUCUGGGAUAACCCCGGGAAACCGGGGCUAAUACCGGAUACGACUGCCGCGGGCAUCCGUGGUGGUGGAAAGAUUUCUCGGUCUGGGAUGGGCCCGCGGCCUAUCAGCUUGUUGGUGGGGUAGUGGCCUACCAAGGCGACGACGGGUAGCCGGCCUGAGAGGGCGACCGGCCACACUGGGACUGAGACACGGCCCAGACUCCUACGGGAGGCAGCAGUGGGGAAUAUUGCGCAAUGGGCGAAAGCCUGACGCAGCGACGCCGCGUGAGGGAUGAAGGCCUUCGGGUUGUAAACCUCUUUCAGCAGGGACGAAGCGAAAGUGACUGUACCUGCAGAAGAAGCACCGGCUAACUACGUGCCAGCAGCCGCGGUAAUACGUAGGGUGCAAGCGUUGUCCGGAAUUAUUGGGCGUAAAGAGCUCGUAGGCGGUCUGUCGCGUCGGAUGUGAAAACCCGGGGCUUAACCCCGGGCCUGCAUUCGAUACGGGCAGACUCGAGUGUGGUAGGGGAGACUGGAACUCCUGGUGUAGCGGUGAAAUGCGCAGAUAUCAGGAAGAACACCGGUGGCGAAGGCGGGUCUCUGGGCCACUACUGACGCUGAGGAGCGAAAGCGUGGGGAGCGAACAGGAUUAGAUACCCUGGUAGUCC